CAGUCCCCAGGGGCUGGGGACUAGCUGUCCUUCUCACCGGAGAACCAUAUCACCAGCUUGAGCUGGACCACGUGUAUUGUAAGAAGAAGGAAUUGCAGGAGAAACCAAGAUUUGCCCAGCACCGAGUCCUGCUCAAAGCUAAAGGGAGAAGGAGAUCCCAAGUGGAGGAGACUGUCCUUAACCUUCCAUUCCAGAGCAGUUUGCUGGCUGGUAGUAACAAAGGGGAUGAAAUAGGGUUGUUGUGUUUUUCUUUCAUUAUUUUACUUUUUCAGGUCUGCUGAAUAAAGAAAACCAUCAUAAUACAAUGUUAAUUCCUCUAAGACAUUAGGGCAACACUGUGUUUGGUUUUAAAAACUCAAGCAAUAUGUAAUUUUCAGAUAAUUAACUGUGUGGAUUAAAAACUAGUUCUUUCACUGAUCUCAAAAUAUUGAUCAUUAGGAUUCACCAAUGAGCAGGACUGUAUUUAGCAGUGGUGCCAAAUGACUGAGGUCUUGUUGCCACAAUUAGUUUGUUCAUCGGUGACCUAGACAAUGACAUAAAAUUUCUGUUGAUAAAGUCUGUGAAAGACAUUUGAAAUUAAGAAGUAAUAAAGAGGGACAAAGACAGGUUAUUGUUAUGCAAACCUGACUUGCCUGAUCACAGUCCCAUGACAUCCACUGGCAGGUAGCUAAAUACCAAUUUACACAACACCAGAUACAGACAGACAUGUGGAGUCUCUUGGCAAGCAGUAAUCCAGAAAAAGAUUGAGGAGUAAUCAUAGAUGAUCAUUUCAGCAUAAGUUGCCAGUCAGGUAGUAGCUGAAAAGGCUGCUUACACAAUCCUUUCAUGUAUAAAAUGAAGUUAUCAGGAAGAAGCAGAGCAAGGAUCCCUGUAUGUAGAGUUUAAGAAAGAUCAUAGUGCGUGAACAAUCACUAUUAGAAUGUUCUUAGUAUUAAUGAACAUUUCCUGUGAGCAAACUGUAUAUAUAUAUGUACAUAUACUUAUUUGCAUAUGAUCCCUGUACAGUCAGUAUAUGUAAAAUACCAGUGGCCAGUGCUCACUUGAUGCCCAGCAUUCUGGAGUCAGGUUUAGUCCAGAGUCCCUUGCUGAACAGAAGAAUUUUUUAGGAGUCCAAGGAUGAGCACUGUGCAAACUAGGUUAGGUUAUCUCUGCCUCUAGUCCACAGUGCCUGCUGGGGUUGCCUCUUUUAUUAUGUUCAGAUUUCCUGUUCAUGCAAGUCCCUGAGAAGCAUCACCAGGUGACAAGCCUCCCACAAGGUGAUCUGUCACUUGGUAACUGUUCCUCUUUAAUUCAAACCUGAAGAACAUAUUUGUCCUAAUGGCUCACUGGUUUUCUUAUCCCAAGGUACUCCACUGUAGAAUCUUGUCAGCAUUAUGCCAUUCACCACUGAGCACUGUACUGCAAGAUGACAAAGACAGCAUGAGAAAAAGAAUCCAUUUCACAAGUUCCCUGAGUUGCCUGGAGUCAGAUUUUCCAAAUUUUCAAAAGACCUUUGAUCUUGUGGACAAAAGCACAGUAAGACCAAGGGAGAAAUUACAGUAGAAAGAACGAAUUUAAGCUCCUGAGGAAGAUUCUGAUUGAUAUAAGUACAAGAGAAAGUUACUUUUUUGAAGUCCUUUGAAAGAAUCAACAGGUGUGUGGAUAAGGGAGACCCUUCUAAUACAACCUAUUUUAAUUUCAAAAAGGCAUUCAGCAAGGUUUCUAAUCAAGUCUCGAAGGAAGCUAACAAGUUUUGAGACGUGAGGGGAGGUCCUUACAAGGAUACCACUUGGAUCAAAGGAUACAAAAUAGGAGGAAAAUUACUCAGCUUUCUCAGAGAGCGUGAAACUUAGUGCUGGAGCUCAUGCUGCUUAACAUGUUGUUAAACAACAUAGAGAAGGAUGGGCAAGUAAGUGACAGCUUGCUGGAGGUGCUGAGUUACACAGGGUAAUAAAGGUGGGAGCUGAUUGUGAAGAAUUGCAAAAGGCGUUAUGAAACACAGUGAUUGCUAAUUAAAAUAGUAGAUUAAAUUCAGCAUAAACUGAUGUGUAUAGGAGAAAAUAAUCCUAACCUUGCAUGAAGUGACAUGUUAUGAUUCAUCUACUACCUCUUAAAUUGAAAAUCCUGGGGUUAUAAAAAAUAGUUUCAUAAAAUGUCAGUACAAAGCUCAGUAGGACUAAAACCAACCAAACAAAACCAAAAGCAGGCCAUUCAAAGGUUAGUCAAGAACAGACUGUAACACUGAGCUUUACUCCAUUGUAGGAAAAUUACCCAUGGCUGCUUGAUGGUAGUAGUACUUCUCAAAUUCCAUGUGUUUUAAGAGAGUAGUGGAUAAAAAAAAGUCAGUUGGAAAAGAACCAGAGGCAGCUCGAUAGCCUUGUCUUUGCUGAGGUGUUAUAACAACCAUCUCAGUGACAGCACUUGUGUCUAAUCAAUUGACUUGGGAAGGAAUUAUUAUUUACAAUCAUACUAAAACCCACAAAGUCACUCCUCCUCUCAUGCUGGUUUACAGCACACAACAUAUUCAAUAACCAUAUGUGUUCUUGUCUUUUUGGGCAGCACUCCAUUGUAACAGGGAAGAAACUACUGAAACUCUUCUCAGGUCUUGCCUAAUCCAGUACGAGCUGUGAAAGACCGACCAGGAAUUAAUCAUGUACAUGCUUUCUUACAACAAAACAGCCAUGGGAAUAGUCUCCACAGCUAUAAGCAGAGCUGGAGCUGAAUUAGGCUCAGCAAACCCACCAAAAAUGCAUUUUUUCCUUUGGGGUCCAGGAUGGCAGUGGGACAGGGUAUUUCCAGUAGUGGGACUUGCCCAGCACACACCAGACCCAGCAUUGUAGUCUCUGUGUCUUUAUCUGGAGAACUUUGUCUUGCUACUCUGUGUGCCAGUGCAGCCUCUGUCUGAUGGGAUGACCUGUGAGCAACCCACUGGAACCUGGUCAGUCAAGAAGCACCUGCAGAAAACAAGCUGAAGUGCUUGAGUAUUCAGCAAUGUUUCACCAGUUACUGUAAAGGUUCUAAGAGUAUCUUUCCUUAUAGGGCUUUUACAAGGAAACCAGUUUUCAAGAGAACAAAUUCUUAUUGUUGCCAGAUUCUCACGUGUCUAUAACAUUUUCAUGGUCGCAACUCAGGGCACAAAUGGCAGCAAAGGAUUACUUUUCUCAUUUAGUUUUAGUGUAAAAAUAUAUUUGCUUUUGUCAGAAGGUGUAAGGAUUGCAAAACCUUGUACAGAGGUGAAAUCUUUCUUUUGAUCUUCUGGAGAUUUACAGUAGCAAUAAAAACAAAUAAUGGUCUUCAAGCAGCAGCGCUGGAGGUGAGACUGCAAAACCCACAGUGUGUGAGAAGAACAGGAGCUUUAAUGAAGUUUGUCACUGGCAUUUGGUUUAACAAGUUUUACAAGCUACAAGCCUGGAAAAAUGGAUUAAGGUUAGACUGGGGCACAGUAACAGACCACCGCUUUGUUAUCACAGGGACUCGGCAACACUGUUUUGGUUGUACAGAUUCUAUGUUUUCACAGCAGAUUAUAGACUUGAACCUGCUCAGCUGAGACAGAAAUGGCAGGGAGGCACCCCCACCAGAGGGAGAUUAGAAAGGUCAUGCUCUGACCUUUCUGUGACUUACAGACGUAUCUCUACCCAAAGCCAUUUCACCCAGAGAUUAUCCUAUUAAAUUGCUGGGGUAUGUCAUCCUUCUGACACAUCCAACCGUGAACCACAAUUCCUUAUGCUGAAAAUAGGGUAGCAUCUUUUGGAAUAGGGAAAAAUUCCUUGAAAGGGAAGAGUACACCAGCCUCGUUGUUUACAGCCAGAAAGCUGAGGAAGGCACAUCCCAAAUGUUCUGAGCAAACAGGCUUUUUCUUCUCCCAGUUGUAGGAAAGGGAAGGAAUUUUGAGACUGAAGUUCUUCCCUUUACCUUAGAAGACAUAAGGUUUAGAGUCCUUUUGUUUGUCUGACAUGUGCAUUACUUUUUUAAUAUUCUGGUGAUAUGAAUACUCAGUCAUUAUAAAAUAAGUUUCCUCAUCUCCUUUUGUAUAAAAGAGUUGAUGGGAAAGCUCUAAAUAGCUACACUAAUACCCUAAACUAAUGACAAAGAAGUAAAAAUGUCCAGCCCUCAGAUCCAUCCUUUAUCUAUCCACUUGAAUUUCUUAAGUACUGUAACAAUAAAAAAUUCUGAAGUAAUUUUCAACAAUUUAUAAUUACAUGGCUAUAUACAAUAUGCUUCCUCGCACAAGCAUUGGAAGAAUUACCAAGAAUCAAAUCCUCAGAUCUUAUAGAUCUCAAUAUUAACCAACAAAACACUAGAAAGUGUAAAUAGUUACAUAUAUUAAUAAAUUAGAGUAUGCUUGUGCAAAUUUAUCUAGUAAAUCUGUGAAAUAGCUUGAUUUGAUUUAUAUAGAAACUAAAUUGCUGGAGGGGAAAAAAGUUACAGAACCCAAAUUUACUGGUUUUUUGGCUCGAAGAUAAACAAACAAUAAACUUGCCCUUCUACUGAUAUUUAUAAGAGGGAAGUAAAAACCUUGCUGGAGGCAUGAUGGCUCCUUAAGAGCCAUCCUUAAGAGACUUCUCUACUCCAGCCAGGAGCAGGAGAGAGGACUGCCAUUCUGAUUCCAGGAAACCUCACCCUAAAUUGAAAGUUCUACAAAUUGUGUUCAAAAAGCAGUUAGGAGUCCUCAGACAAAGAUUAGUAACGAAAUUAUAUGGAGCAAAAUAUGUUACUUUAGAAGAAUCUUGCUGACUACCCUCCCAUAUCCUCUGAAUUUCUCUGGAUUAUGUUAUAGCAGGUAUCAGGGUACCUUUCAACAAAAUACUGUGCCACAGAAAAAUACUUUUUGGAAAUGCUCUAGCGCUAAGUGCUUUUCAUCCCUUACCAUGAAUUAAAAGCAAAUAUCUUUAAAUACCUGUGAAGGUGUCUUAAAAUAAUCAACGAAGUCAGUUAUGCUGCUAGUGAAACAGGAAAAAACCCCGAAAGAACAUAACAUCCAUGGUUAACAACUGUGAUUUCAGUAAGCCUGACUUCACAAAGCAUCUUUCAUCUCAGUAUUUCCUUAUUUCUGAUCAUCUGGUUAUUUAGAAGGCAUGCAGCUCUCCACAUAAGGCCUCUAUCCACCAGUUUUAAGACAAGAGGAUGAUCUUUCACUCAGGUGUUUACAAAUUUGACAGAGAAGAUGUGCAGGACCCUGAUAGGGCUCUCAUGGACAAAGAAACCCCAAUGUUACCAGGUAGAGAUGCAGUUACCAUUGUUCAAAUGCACCCUCACAGUCCCUGCCUUGAGCAACUCAGCACAGCCAUUAUUUUAGUUUUUAGAGUAGAAUUGGAGGACAUAAAUCUCUUCCUGUGAGUCCCUUGCCUUCUGCACAGUCUGAGGCCUGGAACUUCCCUGCUGACUCCUUGCAGUGACCUGGGAGCCACCACUGCACACUCACACCGGUAAUUACUUUUGCACAAAGGGUGACUAGAGUGAGAAAAUCUGGAGUGUUGUGGCUGGUGGGUUUUACCAGUACGGAAAGGAGGAGGAGCCUGCCUGACACUUGGGCAGAUUCUCUGUAGAUAAUAUAACACUUUAAAUUCAAGUGCUAAAAGGCUUCUACAGUACAGCAUGAGCUGAAGGGACCAGCAACAAAUGAUGAUCAAUGACAGAUGAUAAAUUACAGGAGGUGCCUUAUACACCCAUACUGAUGUGUCUGUAAGGUACCUGCUGCAAUUUGAAGUCAUGCAGGAGUUAAAAGUAUGACGACUUCUAAUUAUGAAAAUCCAGUCCAAAGGGACGAGAUGUUCUCUCUGCCAAAAAGCUGACGUUAUUUUUUUCACAGAUACUAAAAUGAACUGAAGGCUAAAACACUGAUGGUUAAAUUGCUUUUAAACAAGCAUUUUUAGUGACUUCAGAGGUAAAGUUUAAACAAUGAAUCUUCUUUAUUUGAGAAAGGAUUAUGUCAAAUAUAGAGGAUAAUUCCUUAUAUAUUCAAUUACAAGUGCUUCAGUUUUAAGCACAUACAGAAAAGAUGCUGAAGCACAGAUGCACUCACUCCAGAAAAAAAAAAAGCAGAAAAAACCCCCAGUGCCCAGUUUCCCUUCUCUUCUCUAGAACUGAGCUGACUGUAAAUUCAAUCACUUUGCCCCAGACUGCCUGCAAGCCAGCAGAACAGCUCUCCUCAGAGGGCUGCAGUGACAGCACAGCUCUGCUCUGGUCUGUGUUUGGCAACAAAGAGCACAGGAAUGACAUCUGAUGCCCAACAUCACAACUUUAAGACACAGUCAGAUGGCUAUUAUUUUCGCUGCCAGAACUAAACUUUAUUUCCAUGUGUGUUACAUACUGGUAUUUGAUGUCAAGUACAUUAAACUUACUUUAACAGAGGAUUUAAGUGAGGAAUAUUUAUUCUUCCCUAAACAAGAAGGAAUGUAAAAACCUAUAAGAAAAGAACUGUUUAAGCUUUGAUUUGAUUUUGGCAAACCAAACAGUAAAGUAUUCUUCUGUUCUCUCCUCAGAUCUUUCAAAGUACCAAAAAAGCAUCUUUUUAUAAUCAUGCAGCUGAAGAAAAAAAUAGUAUUACAAAAUUCAUUUCUUAUGCUAAAUAUGGUUACAAAUCAGAGUAUUAAACACAAAAUUUCCAAUUCCUAUUUUUAAAUACAAAUACUGUAUUAUAUUAUGAAAUGGGGAUAAUUAAAAUAUAUCAAUGACUACAAAUCUAGUAAUUUAAAGCAAACAAACAUGCUGUUUGCUUUCAUGUGGAAGAAUUAGGAUAUUGUAUGGUUCAAGCACUGCAGUAAUUUCUGUCAACUCCUUGCUGCCCAGAAUGUCAAACCGCCAAACACAGAGACAAGUAUUCAAGUCUGAAUAGCACCAGGUGUUUUUCUUUUUUUUUUCUUUUUUCCCUUUUAGAGAUAUUAACAUUUAAUAAAAUGAGUGACGUUACAACCUUCUGAAAGUGACAUGCACAAAUAGAGAAUUUGUUUUGAGUUUCCAACUAAUAAGCUGAAAGUUUUAGACAAUACUGAAUAAUUACUAACGUAUUUCAUGGUACACAAGAAAACAGUGCUUCCACAGUAUAUCCUCAGUUCUCAAGUACAAAAAUAUCAGUUAUGGGUAGUCAAUAGUUAUCAAAAUUUUUAUUGGUACAGAAUGAAAGCAGCAUUUACUUUAUUGUUUUUUAAACCAUACAUCAUAGAAUUCCCUAGUACACAUGUGGAGGAGUGAAAUAGGCUCUGUACUAUUUACCUGCUACUGAUCCUAGAGUGAAAUACCUGCUACUGAUCCUAGGUCCAGAUUCAAAACCUUUCCUGGCCAAAACCAAACUAUAUAAUUAAUAGCAAAGGGAAGGCAGUUCCUCAGUGUGAAAGGUCAGCAUUUAGAGUCUUACUAAAACACUAUUUUUGAAACAAUACAUCACUUAAAUGUAUAAUUACAUACACUACAAGUGAGAAACAGGUUUUUAUUAACAAGAACUAUUGAGACUGGGCAUAAACAUCUUAACCACAAACCCUAGAAAUAUUAUGGAUGCUUUGAUGUGGCCCUUUUUGGUGAGAGAAUAGGAAUAAUGAAGUAUGGCUUUUCAAGCUUCCUCUAAAAGCACAUUUUAUAAAAUUUUGUAGGUUUAAAUUAUUUUAGAGGCCCCCUAACAUUUUCCAGUAACAUUGUUUACUAAUUAGAAGCAUUAAUUAUAUCAGCAUAUUAAGCCAUUGGCUGAUAGCUGAUCACCAGCAUAACAGGAGCUGUUUGCUUUUGCUGUAGCUUUUUGUUUCUAAGGGAGGUACUUUUCUAGUGAGAGCCAUCCUACAGUACUAUCAAACAUUUCAGAGGUUGCUACAUAGCUUCUCAAAUAAAAUCCUCAACAGUUUUGUUUUCCAGCAGAUACUCAUAUCAAGCAUAUGCAGAGAGCAAAUACAAUCAAGUGCAGACAGUUCAAAGCUAUAUCUCAAACAUAUUGUUUUACAGCUACCCUCUGCAGAAUAAAAGCCCCUCCUCAUCCCAAAGAGAUGGGGCGAGAAGGGGAAACAGGUCUGCAUUCAUGUAGGAGUUUGGCUAGCAUAGACUUUUAUUAAAGUUGUUAACAAAAAUAGUUAAACAUUUUUACAAUUUAACAUCCAGUCUGACAAAAGGCAAAUCAAUGAAAAAAAUACAAAAAAGUAAAAAAGUGCACUACCCAGUCCAGUAUUUUGCUUUAAAGUCAUGUCACUUACAGCAUAUGAAAAAUAAACCCAGAAGUGUAAUUACUUUAAAAUACACCGCUUCCAUAUUUCAGUAUUUUACACAUAUAUUCUAUAGUGGAAGAGGAGAUCUCUUAAAAACUUUACUCUUAAAAUAUUGAGGUGCAUAUACCAAGUGGGAUAGACCUGGCAAGUUAAGUUGCAGUAGAGAAUCCUUUCAAAUUUGGCAUUUCACUUACAAACCUUACUGUGCUAGCAAGAUCUGUAGUACCUAAGCCUUCUAGUAAGAACAGUAAUUUUGCUUAAUGCAGAUUUACUAAUACAGACAACUACAAGAAAUGGUGUGGUCAGCAACUCUAUGGGAUCUUAAGGAGAUACGAGUCCUGAUUUAGUUGUCAAAUGGAACAAUGUCACAACAAACUUUAAGGCCAUGUUUUAUUUGCUGAUUAAUGGACAAAAGGCAAUGGAUUCCCCCCCCACUAAAUAUUUUCUUGAAAGUCUGUGCUCAUAAAAAUCAUGAAAAGUUGGAAAGACUUAAUUAUUGAAACUUUAAAUAUAUUUUACACAAUC
Molecule: long non-coding RNA, 8690 nt
Organism: Pseudopipra pipra
Lineage: Eukaryota; Metazoa; Chordata; Aves; Passeriformes; Pipridae
Exons: 2
Source: RefSeq, a predicted model, not a curated record